CUUGUUUCCGAUUGUGCUACUGUGUAGAGCUGCUGAAGGUUUUUUCAUUUGAAAAUGCCGGUUUGCGUUGUUUACGGGUGUACUAACCGUUGGAAUAGUGCUACCAAGUUAAAAGGAAUCACGUUCCAUGCAUUUCCGAUCAAUGAAGCUCGUAGGGCUCUGUGGGUUCAUAUGGUAAGAAGGAAAGACUGGAUACCUAACAAAUGGAGCAAAAUAUGUUCCCAGCAUUUUCGAGAAGAAGAUAUUGACCGAACUUCAGUUUCGAGUGUUCGGAUCAGGGAAAAUGCUGUACCAUCAAUUUUUCCUGCCUUUCCACCUCACUUACAAAAGGAACAGAAGAAGAGACGACCACCAACACAAAG
This is a long non-coding RNA of Schistocerca cancellata (South American locust), 362 nucleotides long. RefSeq lists it as uncharacterized. NCBI's taxonomy places the organism in Eukaryota, Metazoa, Arthropoda, Insecta, Orthoptera, Acrididae. The transcript has 3 exons. The record is from RefSeq and is a predicted model, not a curated record.